GUUUUUCCCUCCCUCUAACCCAUCGUUCUCCUCAUUCCAAAACCUAAAAAAAAAAUUCUUGACACAGACGCUAAACCUUCACUUUUGUAAUCCUUCAAACCCUAAUUAAACCUUCACUUUUAUGAAAAUUAGCUCGAACCCAUUUUAGUCGACAAUUGAAAGCUGCAAAAGUUAUUGGGAAAUGAGUUCUCUCACUGUGUUUUAAAUAGCGUCUUCAGGCUGAAAUGGGUAAAAGAAAACGAGCACACAAUCGUUUUGGCAGAGGAGACCCAAAAUUUCUCACUAAUUAUAGAUUUCCAUUUCUACGUCGUUAGGGACUCUCGAGAUUCGUCCUCUUCCCGCAAUCAACGCAACCACCGCAACUCCGGCCUCGUCCGCCGCUGUUACUGGUUCAACAUCGCCAUCGACUACUGAAGAUGACGCUGUUCUUUUUGUGAACACUGCUCUUGCUAAGGACUCUUCUUCGCAUUUCCAGUCUCGUCGUUUUGUUGAGUGUCUCGCCGUUUUGCAUCAGCUUAAGCAGAAGAAAGAAGACGAUCCAAAAUUUUUAUCGGAUAUCAGUUGUGCUAGAAGAUGUUCGAUGAAAUGUCUGAGAGAAAUAAUGGGUUUUUGAUGUUAAAUCCAAUCAAUCUUGCUCGUUAUCCGGAUGCGGAUGUUUUAACUUCAAGUGAUUCAGUUGUACCUACUGUUGUUGAUGACAGGUUGGACGUCUGUCACGAAGUUCUUAAUGAGUCUAUCUCCCUUCAAGCAAGACAUCGACGAGCUUCUUAAUGAGUUCGGUGAGAAUGAGUUAACAAAAUUUGCUGAAAUGAAGAAAGUUUGGUAUUCUAGAAGGUUCAGUUACAUCUUUGAUGCUAUGCCUUCCAACAAAUUGGCCCUGUUUAUGCAAUCUCUUUAUGCUCAUUCAAUUGGUUACAUGGUGAGUAGUAAUGCUCCUUUGUCUCGAAGAUUAGGCGGCUUGUAUUGCCUUUACUGUUUACAUGAAACUCAACCAUUCAAGCCACCUUUAAGAAUCUAUAUAUCUCUUGGAGAGCUAAAGAAACUUAAGCAGCUUGUGAUUGAUGCAAAAGCUCAGGGUAUAAAAGAUGUUAUCAGUUUGGUCAAUAGAAUGCUAGAAAAGAACAUGUUUCUUUUUGGCGCUGUGGACAUAAAUGAAGGCUCUACUACCCAGUUAGUGGACGAACUCACACAAUUGCAAAAUGAUCGCGUCCAGCAUGCAUAUAAAAAAUUAAUUCCUGAGACUUACCUUAAACAAUUCCUCUACAUGGACUUGGGUAGCGAAUUCGAUCUUGAUACAAUGAAGAAAAUGUCAACAGAGUAUGCAAAAACCAAGAAGCAAGCCAUCCAAGAGGCAAGUAAGGUGGUGAACAUUGAGGACAUACAGCACAUAUCAGAUGAUAAGGAAUUUAUUGGAGAUAUAAUGGAUAACAUCAGAGAGAACUGGAAUGUCCAGAAAGAGAUGUUCUAUCAGCAGACAGGAUUGUAUCAGCAUCCAGCUCAAGAACAAGACCAUCAGCAUCAGAACCAUAAAGAGAAAAAUGAGGACGGCGAUAAUGAUGAUUUUAGCCGUGAAUUAGAACUGCAACUAUAUGAAGAAGAGCCACAACUAUAGAGACAAGAGGAUGAAGAUAUAGGUGGAACUGAAAAUGCAACAUUUUCACAAUCUGCUACAAGAACAUUGACAAGUAACAACAGGAUAAUGAAGAACGUAGUCACCGAAACAAGGGAAUUAGGAAAAUGGUUUAGACUUCAAACGCACUUGACUUGAGAUAAGCCGUUGAUGGACAUAUUGGAAUAUGCUCGAUAUGAGUUAUAAUUAGGUACUUUGGAUAAAACUGGGAUUGGUUGUAGUGCAGAUUAAGGAAAUAUUAAAGAAGAACGGCAGUCGAUAGCAAUAAUGGUGCAAGAGCAACACUUGAUGCUCAUUGGUUUUAGGCCUAAAAAGCUUUCAACUAAGAUCAUCGCUCACUAUGCUGGUUUCAUCCUUAUAUCCCUCGUCCAACUUCGAUAGUUUUGCUCCUCCUUUCACUUCAUACAUUAGCCCAUCAAUGGCACCAUCGGCAUUAUACAUGGCAAUGAGUCCCAAGGGUGCAAAGCUGAACCCAAGUGCUAACACCUUAAUGGGCGUCACUGUGAAUAUGUCAUGCUCAAGGACUUUGAGUAGGGAUGCAUUAUAAGGGAGAGAAUAAGCUCAGUAGUUUGGUGACAGUAAAUAUUAUGUUGCUGCUUCAGCAAUGAGAUGGACAUCACGAUCCUUAAAGGCGCCUGUUAAUGCCUCAGAUUUUGUUUCGUGGAAUGUGUUCUUUCUUUCAACACUAUUCCAAGCUGCUCCUUGACAAUUGUAAACUCCUAAAACGCCUGUGUAUUUGUUAUUCAUAUUCCAUAUCUUCAACAAGCUGCUAAACACAAAUUUCUGGUAAGAAAAUUUACCCGCAUAUAACUUUCUAUGCUUACAUCCUGUGUUGCAUAGAAAUUUUUCAA
This is an RNA transcript of Mercurialis annua (annual mercury), 2481 nucleotides long. RefSeq lists it as uncharacterized. The record is from RefSeq and is a predicted model, not a curated record. The transcript is spliced from 11 exons. Lineage: Eukaryota; Viridiplantae; Streptophyta; Magnoliopsida; Malpighiales; Euphorbiaceae.